AUACGUAGGGGGCGAGCGUUGUCCGGAAUGAUUGGGCGUAAAGGGCGCGUAGGCGGCCCGGUAAGUCUGGAGUGAAAGUCCUGUUUUUAAGAUGGGAAUUGCUUUGGAUACUGUCGGGCUUGAGUGCAGGAGAGGUAAGUGGAAUUCCCAGUGUAGCGGUGAAAUGCGUAGAGAUUGGGAGGAACACCCGUGGCGAAGGCGACUUACUGGACUGUAACUGACGCUGAGGCGCGAAAGUGUGGGGAGCAAACAGGAUUAGAUACCCUGGUAGUCCACGCUGUAAACGAUGAAUGCUAGGUGUAGGGGGUAUCGACCCCUUCUGUGCCGCAGGCAACACAAUAAGCAUUCCGCCUGGGGAGUACGGCCGCAAGGUUGAAACUCAAAGGAAGUGACGGUG
This 397-nucleotide ribosomal RNA is filed under the name uncultured bacterium. Its description in RNAcentral is "partial 16S ribosomal RNA". It matches the Rfam family "Bacterial small subunit ribosomal RNA", at positions 523 to 918 of the family's 1533-position model. The record is from RNAcentral.